UACGAAGGGGGCUAGCGUUGUUCGGAAUCACUGGGCGUAAAGCGCACGUAGGCGGGUCUUUAAGUCAGGGGGGAAAUCCUGGAGCUCAACUCCAGAACUGCCUUUGAUACUGAGGAUCUUGAGUUCGGGAGAGGUGAGUGGAACUGCGAGUGUAGAGGUGAAAUUCGUAGAUAUUCGCAAGAACACCAGUGGCGAAGGCGGCUCACUGGCCCGAUACUGACGCUGAGGCACGAAAGCGUGGGGAGCAAACAGG
This 253-nucleotide ribosomal RNA is filed under the name uncultured bacterium. RNAcentral's name for it is "partial 16S ribosomal RNA". It matches the Rfam family "Bacterial small subunit ribosomal RNA", at positions 524 to 776 of the family's 1533-position model. The record is from RNAcentral.